AAGAAAUGGAAAAAAUGAUCAUGUUAACGGGUUUCAGAGUACUCUCUUAAAUUCAUUGAGCUGGAUGAGAACUUCAAGAGAUCCAUCGAGUUCAGGAUGAUCCAGGAUUAAAGAAAGCAUGUACAUUGCAGAGAGGGAGCACAAGUAAAGCCUAGCUAGAAUGGAGCACACAUUCUUCAGUGAAAAAGGUGUGAAAAGCCUAACUGAGCUAUAGAGAGGGGGGCGAGAGGAACAGUGAAGACUGUGUUCGCUGCAGUUUCACCUAGAGGAGGAGGCAGAGCAGAGGAUCGCCCAACUGGAUGAGAGGGCCCACAAUGAAGCCGUUGUUGUACAUCACCUAAGCCAGUGAUGACAUCCCAAGCAGUUCCAGAAUGCCUUGCAGGGUUGCAGGGAAGAGGGUCCUGGUUUGGAACAGUGGGGAAGACCUCUCUGUGUACUGUAUAGUUCGAAAGCCAUCUGAGGACAGACUAGGUACUAUAUAUACACUUUGAAGUUGGUGUUCUUUUAUAGUCCAUAAAUGAUCUUCAACACUGAUACUGUAUUGCCAGUUCUAUAUUGUAUUGCCAGUUCUAUAUUGUAUUGCCAGUUCUAUAUUGUAUUGCCAGUUCUAUACUUCAGUUCUUGGUGAUUUAUAUUGUAGAAAUAAAUGUAACCUGCGUUUUCAGACCAAUUUGGUGACUUAAGGCAAAUUAAAACCAAAUCUUCCCCAGCAUUCUAAGCUUGGAAUUUGAUGUCACUCAAUUCUCUCUACUACAUCACCAAACCCAGCACACCACCUUUAUGCCAUUUAUACCUUAGAGAGAGUUUGGCACAUGAAAGGUAAAACUGUCAGUCAGCGAGACAACGCAUCGCGCUUCAUGUUCAACAACAACUUUGGUAGCCUAGUGCGUGGCUGAGACUAAGUGGAGAACCUGAGGAAGAUGACUGUCAUUGGCUGAGGAAAACGCCUCCCUGGCACUGCAUAAGGUACACCAGCCCCAAUGGCGCCACAAACAGAACUGUAGGCAUUCAUCAUCUCAAUACCAUCUCAAUAACUUGUCUUUAAAUUGUUAAACACGUGGCAGAUCUCCAGAGGACAUAUUUCAGAUGGUAUUUCCCAUUUUAUUUAUAUUUGCUGACCCCAUGUUUGUUUUGCUUGCGGCCCCUCAUACCCCUCACCUCCAGUGUGAGCUGGUGGCUGGUGGUUGUGGCAAGUUUCCACUGGCUUCUGGGUUCCAAGUCAGUGGCUUCCCCCCUCAGUAUUUUCAGGGCACUGUUUCUCUGAAGCAAAUACCAUAAUCUCACCCAUUAUUUCGAUAAAGCGAGGACAGAAUGAAGUCACCCCAGCUCAGUCCUUCUUCCAUGCUCCAGCCUCCUUCCAUUCCCUUCCAUGCUCCAUUCAUUCCCUUCCACGCUCCAUCCAUUUCCUUCCACGCUCCAUCCAUUUCCUUCCACGCUCCACCAUCCAUCGAUUCCCUUCCAUGCUCAACCCUCCUUCCAUUUCCUUCCAUGCUCAAACCUCCUUCCAUUUGGCAAUUAAGCCCCCCACCAAAACAUUAUUCAUUCAUCAACAUGCCAUUUAGUGGCUUUAAUUAACUACAUUACCUUGGAGAAAGCCAUAUGUAUAUUGUCAUGAUGAUUGCAACCAUAUUUUAA
Molecule: long non-coding RNA, 1635 nt
Organism: Oncorhynchus tshawytscha (Chinook salmon)
Lineage: Eukaryota; Metazoa; Chordata; Actinopteri; Salmoniformes; Salmonidae
Source: Ensembl